GUGUUAUCAAGAAAGGUAGAGGGAAUAGACCCAAUGAAACCUUGGCAACCCUUUAACUUGUAAAGAAGGUGCUACGUUCUACUGUUAAUUCUGAAAUUAUUUCAGACAUAAAACAGAAAGAUAACGA
Molecule: non-coding RNA, 127 nt
Filed under: Seonamhaeicola sp.
Lineage: Bacteria; Pseudomonadati; Bacteroidota; Flavobacteriia; Flavobacteriales; Flavobacteriaceae
Also listed under: 1 other name
Description: SAM-I sequence
Rfam family: SAM riboswitch aptamer (S box leader)
About the family: The SAM riboswitch is found upstream of a number of genes which code for proteins involved in methionine or cysteine biosynthesis in Gram-positive bacteria.
Source: RNAcentral